CCACUGCUUCUUCCCUGCCUCAAAAAGAGGCAAAUUCCUGGUGACCCGCUCAACAGUCCACCCACCCACACACUGACAAAAUGAGUGGAUCCUAAAUACCUAACAUAUGUGAACCCUUAUGCCCAGUGUAGAUCAAUUCCAAACGGGAGAAGAGGCAGCAAAGCCAGAGGUGUCAGAGAUGGAGGUGACCAGUUGUUCCAGGGAAGGAGCCAGAUGUCAGCAUAUUUUGGUGAAAAGUCCAGUACCAGAACCAAUACCAGAAGGAGAAGCCCAUGGUGGGACUAAUAGAUCCCAGCUACCUGGCAGUGGUGAAGUGGCAAAUUUGGGUGAAGGUGAAUUGGAUAAUGGAUACUGAGGUGCUGGUGAAUCAGCCAGGUGGAGAUAUUCUCUAAAUGAUGAGGUUCUGGAGAGGGAGUUGUCUCCUCCCUGCAGGACUGGGCAUGCCUACUCUCUGCCUGGUUGACCUUUGGAGUUAUCUCUGCAGGCCUGCUCCUGUCCUGCAGACAUGCUGGACCAGUUAAAGGUUAUUCUGUAGAAACCUCAACCAACAAGUCAAAAGAUGAGUUUCCUGCUCUUAAUAGAUAAUUUUUAUUGGUUUUGCAAUAAACGUAUGAAAUAGAAACAAUAGCAAUAAACUAGCUCAACAAGAAAUCGAAAGGCACAGGCCCCCAAAGCCCUUCCCGCCUCUCCUUAAUGAGUCUCUAAUUUAUAGACCGACUAGCAGGACCACUUUUCUUUUUCCAAGCUUUGCAAACUUUUCCAUUUUGGAGGCUUGAGGACUCUGGGGGCUGUGCGCUUGCUUCCACAUAGUUGCUGAACAGAAGCCAGGGCAGAGCAGUGCCAGACAAGAGAGGGUGGCACUACUUUGAAGCUUCAGAGUCUGGACUCCACCCUGUUUCUUCUGACUUUGAGGGUCUGCCUCCUUUUAAUUUCAUAUUUAUGUGCAGGGCAGAAAGGGAGAGGGACCAGAAGGAAAACUCAGCUGAGAUGGCCAAAGGCAGCUUUUUAAUGCUGGGC
This is a long non-coding RNA of Canis lupus familiaris (dog), 1017 nucleotides long. RefSeq lists it as uncharacterized. NCBI's taxonomy places the organism in Eukaryota, Metazoa, Chordata, Mammalia, Carnivora, Canidae. The transcript has 3 exons. The record is from RefSeq and is a predicted model, not a curated record.